GAGAUAUUAGUAAAAUAAUAUUACAUCACCUUGUCAAGAUGAAAUUGCAAGUUAAACCCUUGUAUAUCUUU
This 71-nucleotide transfer RNA is filed under the name Acheilognathus typus (zenitanago). RNAcentral describes it as "tRNA-Asp". It matches the Rfam family "tRNA". Rfam says of the family: Transfer RNA (tRNA) molecules are approximately 80 nucleotides in length. Their secondary structure includes four short double-helical elements and three loops (D, anti-codon, and T loops). Further hydrogen bonds mediate the characteristic L-shaped molecular structure. tRNAs have two regions of fundamental functional importance: the anti-codon, which is responsible for specific mRNA codon recognition, and the 3' end, to which the tRNAs corresponding amino acid is attached (by aminoacyl-tRNA synthetases). tRNAs cope with the degeneracy of the genetic code in two manners: having more than one tRNA (with a specific anti-codon) for a particular amino acid; and 'wobble' base-pairing, i.e. permitting non-standard base-pairing at the 3rd anti-codon position. The record is from RNAcentral. Lineage: Eukaryota; Metazoa; Chordata; Actinopteri; Cypriniformes; Acheilognathidae.